GAGGAAUGGCCGAGUGGUCGAUGGCGGCGGUCUUGAAAACCGCAGACGGCGAGAGUCGUCCGGGGGUUCGAAUCCCUCUUCCUCC
Molecule: transfer RNA, 85 nt
Filed under: zebrafish metagenome
Rfam family: tRNA
About the family: Transfer RNA (tRNA) molecules are approximately 80 nucleotides in length. Their secondary structure includes four short double-helical elements and three loops (D, anti-codon, and T loops).
Source: RNAcentral